GAGUUUCAGAGCAUUCUGCUAAGCUCUCAGAUGAACAUGUAUCACCAGGCCACUCAGCUGAUCUGAUCAGCCCCCAGAGACUCUCUUCUCAGAACGGCAGCCCUGCAAAGGUGCAGCCUGAAGAAGGAAAUGUAGCAAAAACCAGUUCAAUUUAACUGGCUAGCCUUGCCCUGAAUAUGGAGUCUCAACACAGGGCUCCCGUUGAGUCCUUGUGGACUUCUAGAGCUGAUCUCCAGACACCUUUCUUGCUGGUCUCUCCCUCACUGGAGCAAAGCCCAGACCUUCCGAGGGUUCGCAGUGGAAGGGGAUUCUCAGAUCUAAAACCUUGCCAUGAUACUUUGGAAUAAGCAGUGGGAACACAUCAUAUACAGGCUGAGAGCAAGCCCAAUAAUGUUGCUGACGGGACUUCCUAAAACACACAAGUUUGAAGUUGGAAAGGAAUCUAGACAACCUCCUCAUUUUUACUGAUAUGGAAACUGAGAUCUGGAGUGAUGAAUUUAUUUCCAGAGGAAGUUCAAAUUCCAAACUGGACCCAGGGAGCCAGGACAGCUGCCAUUCAGCAGGUUGAGAGCCACCCCACGAAGCUCCAGUCCUAAGCAGAGUUUCUAGGAAUCUGAGGCUACCACUUGCUUUCUCCUCCCCAUAUUCAAUAUGAAAGCAUUGCUCAUGAAAGUAAACACAAUUUGGUUGACCCUUGUCCCUCCUGGGCCUAAUACUCUCCAAAGCGGUACCUCUGGAGGUCACCAUCCUUGAAGAAGUCACAUGUUGUAUGGGACUGAGCACUUGGAUGUACCAACCCAUGUCCUGGGUCUAUGGCCAGCCCUGGAUACCUGGGUGACUUACAAAGGCAGAAAGGAUCUGUUUUAAUUUUUCUGAGAGGAAUCAUGAGAUCAAAUGUGAAAGCAGUUUUUAAGUUGCCAAAUUUUGAAUAUACAAAUUCAGGAGAUUCAUUAUUUCUUGUACAGUCACAUCCUCUGGAGGCAACUGUGUCCUCUGGUUGGGGUCAAAGAGGACACUGUUCAGCUGCAUCCAGAAGGGCCCAAUUCUCUGGAGAAUUUCUGUGGCUAUGACACCGUCUCUGACUAAUGCUAAGGGCUG
Long non-coding RNA from Sciurus carolinensis (gray squirrel), 1098 nucleotides. RefSeq lists it as uncharacterized. The transcript is spliced from 5 exons. The record is from RefSeq and is a predicted model, not a curated record. Lineage: Eukaryota; Metazoa; Chordata; Mammalia; Rodentia; Sciuridae.